UUUGUUCUGUUUCUCUUUUCUCCCAGAUCCCCUGUUUUGUGGCUCUCAGGUAUCUGCUGUUCACAUGCUUUCCUGUUACUCACAACCACAUGCCAAAUGCUAGCUAAUGGCUGGUUUAUUCUGUUUGUGCUUUUGUACUAUCAUUUUAAAAAAAAACUAAAGCACUUUCACUUCACACAGUGAACCAGCAGGCCAGCUGUUCAUUUUUUGUAUACUAGAUAAUUCACUUCGAAAAUGUCUUACAUCAUUAAAAUUUUUGGUUGAACUGCAGUGUAUUAGGGUUUAUGUGGACACAUCUAUACUUUGAACCCUUUCUGUCUGGCCUCUCACUGGUGUCCAUACGAUAUUGCUUCAUGCUAGGGCUGAUUCAUCUGCUUACCUGCAGGUUCUCACCUGAUUGUGGGUCAAGCUAAUGGGAUUCAGUUAGUGCAAAGUGUACCCAGAAGUAUCAUGUGCAUAUGUACUCCCAAAACCUCAUAGGCUGCGUCGUGCCUUGCAACCUCAUUGCCCUACAUACUUGAGGAGCCAUCCAGAGGUUAUAUAUCGUCGGAUGUCAAGGGAGAGCAAGCUGUUCAGAUUUGCCCUGAUCUUGGCCACUGUGAUUUGAAGAUAUAUGAGCAUAUACCGAAGCGAGUAACUGAAGAGGGAUCCUCUUGGGAUAUAGCUCAUUGCAACAAUGAAGGAAAGAAGUUCCGGCAAAACUGGAGUGAAAAAAAACAAGGCCAUAAACAAAGUUUCUGGCAAUGCUCCAAGUACCAAUCCUUUCUUCAAGACUUUGAUCUGAUGUUUGCUGCAGGAGCUGGAAGUAGAGGAAGGUGACAGAGGCUAGAAGAGCGAGAGGAAAAUUGCCGGACAUACAAUGCAUCAGGAGCACAUUGCAAAGUGAUAUGAGCAAUGCUUGGGUGAGUGCUACCGCAUUUCCCCACUUGGUUUUGUGCAUGCUCUAUGGCCUUACUCUUAAGCUGGCACAUUUUCAGCAGUUUCCCAAAGUUUAGAGAAAUGCAGGAAGACUGUCUCCCUGACACCGCUGUAGGGGCAGGAUCCCAUGGAGACUGAGGGAUGUUCUCUUUCUUAACUUUUCCGUGCAGUACGAACACUGUUAGGCUCUUUCCACAAAUACUUGCUGAAUGGUCAUGGAGGUAAUCUGAAGUUAUUUCUUGCUCUGAUAUAUGAAAUGCUAAGUGUGAAAUGUCUCUCCACUGGUGGUGUUCAUUAAGAUCCUUCUGGAAAUGACAUGCAUCUUCCAGCAGGCUCUAGGUUGGCAGCUGAUAGCUUAACAUAAAUGGG
This 1287-nucleotide long non-coding RNA is filed under the name Struthio camelus australis. RNAcentral's name for it is "lncRNA (ENSSCUG00000016103.1)". Lineage: Eukaryota; Metazoa; Chordata; Aves; Struthioniformes; Struthionidae. The record is from RNAcentral.